GGGAGGGCAGGGGGGGCUCAGCCAAGGCGUGAGAGCAAGUUUGUGCCUGCUGUUGCAGCACUUUUCAAAUGCUUGCAGGCAGAUUUGACAAGAGGUAGCGAUGUGUGCAGCCCAGCUGGAAACACGGAGGAAGGCUGAGAUGCACACACAGAUGGGAAAUGACCCCGUGCAGUCGCUUGAACAAAUACCGGCAAGAACGGAUGGGCUUUCCCCUCUCCCACAAAGCCCCUCCUUCCUCUCCCUGCAGCACCCAGGGCAAAGAGGGUUUUUCUCAGGCAGCCUUCGCUGGAGGGAGAGCAGCAGCCUCUGCACUCUGUGCUCGCGGAUUACACACUCCUUUAUUCACAGGGCUGGUGCGGGGCACUGGGAGUAAGAUUGCAAGAUGGGGCACGGGUGCCUGAGGAGGAAAGGACUGCUCCRRUGUUUGGCYCUAUCUUUUCCAGACAGAGGGUCAUCUCUCCUGCAAGGAAGGACCAAGAGAGCUGGGACUCUUCAGCCUGGAGUCGAGAAGGCUGAGGGGGGAUCUUAUCAAUGUGUUUAAAUAUCUGAAGGGAGGGUGUCGAGAGGAUGGGGCCAGGCUCUUUUCAGUGCUGCCCAGUGCCUGGACAAGAGGCAACGGGCACAAAGUGGAUUACAAGAAGUUGCAUCUGAAUCGAAGAAAAACUUUUCUUCCUGUGAGGUGACGGAGCACUGGAUCAGGCUGCCCAGAGAGGUUGUGGAGUCUCCAUCCUUGGAGACAUUCAAAAGCUGUCUGGACGGGGGGGCCGUGGGGGAAAAGCAGGAGGCCCGGGGGGCACCGCCGGGCAAACCUGCGGCUCUGUGGGGCACAGAGCUGCGAAAACGGAGGCUCCCGGGACGCCCAGAGCCAAACGGAGGUGCCCAGGGCACGCCAAAAAGAGGACGGAGCACCCGGGAGGGCACGAAAACACACGUGUGCACAUGGCGGGCACUAAAGGGCAGCUGUAGGGCCCCAGGGAGACCCAAAAACCAAGCGCAGAGCUCGGGGGGGCGCCGAAACCAAACCGAGGGGCCUGGGGGACACCAAAGCCGCAAAGGCAGCCGCAGCCGUUGGGAGGGGGGAGAGCAGAAAAUGGCGGCUCUGGGGGCAGGGCCGGGGCCCUCGGGGGCGUGUCCUGCGGAGGGGGAGAACUGCCCCAACCCUGCUCACCAGAGGGUGCGGGCGUCCCGCCUCUGCGCAGCCCCGCAGCGCUGAUUGGAGGGGCCGUGGGGGAGCCGUGAUUGGCUGUGAGGAGGGCCCGUGGGGGAGCCGUGCGSUGAUUGGCCAGCAGGCGGGGCUGUGGGGGCCAGGCCCAGGCGCUGGCGGGCAGCGGCGUGGGGCAGCGGGGCUGGCGAGCUGCUGGCGGCGCCUCGUGCCCCGGCAGCGCGGGGACCCCCGUGCCGGCCCCGGCCCUGGCAGCGCCAUGGAGCAGAGGGGAGGGGAGGGGAGG
RNAcentral lists this long non-coding RNA (1448 nucleotides) under Apteryx haastii (Great spotted kiwi). RNAcentral's name for it is "lncRNA (ENSAHAG00000010017.1)". Lineage: Eukaryota; Metazoa; Chordata; Aves; Apterygiformes; Apterygidae. The record is from RNAcentral.